UCGGAUCAUGUAGAGCAGCAUAUCAAUAAGCGGAGGA
Molecule: ribosomal RNA, 37 nt
Filed under: Aspergillus flavus
Lineage: Eukaryota; Fungi; Ascomycota; Eurotiomycetes; Eurotiales; Aspergillaceae
Description: partial 28S ribosomal RNA
Source: RNAcentral